This 450-nucleotide ribosomal RNA is filed under the name uncultured bacterium. RNAcentral describes it as "bacterial SSU rRNA". It matches the Rfam family "Bacterial small subunit ribosomal RNA", at positions 1 to 507 of the family's 1533-position model. The record is from RNAcentral.
AAGUUCCAAGUUUUGAGUUUAUCUUAAACACUUGUUACAUGGCACCUGAUACUUUAUACAUUCUAGUGGCGGACGGGUGAGUACACGUUGGAACCUGCCCCAAAGUGAGGAAUAAGCCACCGAAAGGUGGUCUAAUACUUCAUAAUAUCCAUCUCGUAUGGAUUAAAAGCUUUAUGCGCUUUGGGAGGGGCCUGCGUAACAUUAGCUUGUUGGUGAGGUAAAAAGCUCACCAAGGCUUCGAUGUUUAACUGGUUUGAGAGGAUGACCAGUCACACUGGGACUGAGAUACGGCCCAGACUCCUACGGGAGGCAGCAGUAAGGAAUCUUCCACAAUGGGGCAACCCUGAUGGAGCAAUACCGCGUGCAGGAUGAAGCGUUUCGGCGUGUAAACUGCUUUUAUCACCGAAGAUUAUGACUGUAGGUGAAGAAUAAGGACCGGCUAACUACGUG